RNAcentral lists this long non-coding RNA (548 nucleotides) under Citrus x clementina. Its description in RNAcentral is "Citrus clementina (C. clementina) long non-coding RNA (CCLE_LNC005323)". Lineage: Eukaryota; Viridiplantae; Streptophyta; Magnoliopsida; Sapindales; Rutaceae. The record is from RNAcentral.
GAAAAAGGGCGUGAAAUUUGGAUGUUAGAGGUUCAAAAGCCUUUGGACGAAUUCUAACCCUUUGAUUUGUUAUUAUUUCUGAGUGGCUGGGAUGAUGCCAUGCGUCUGAGCUUCCGCGCCCUUUGUUAUACUAGAUCUAGCACACCAAAUUUGGUAGUUCAACCACCUUGAUAAAUGAACAAAAGGAGGCUUAAACUUUGACUUCAAUUUUAGCCAUUUGUUAUGUUCAAUCUAAUGAUUAUAAUGAUUGCAAUUUAAGACGCUUUGAUUGAAUUACUAAUUCUCAUUGUAAGAUUGUGAUUAAAGCUCACAAAAAAUAUUAUGUAAAUACCUACACUUGAUCACGCAAAAUUUACCUAUAUAAAGGCAAGAGCUCUUACAAUUGAGAGUGUGCUAGAUUUUGGGAGAAAGAAGAAAAGUAGAGAGAAUUGUGUGCUGGAUUUUAGGAGUCAACAUUUUGGGUGUAAAUCUAGAGUUAAUUUUAAGAAAAAAAAAUCUCUUUUUUUUCCCUUUAUUUUCAAUUUUCUUGUACUAUACUUUACAAAGUU